GGGAACUCUGUACCAUGCUGGCGACCAGGUCUGCGGCUAAAUUGAAGUCGCCCUAUUUUCAUCCUAGGUGUGCGGUAGCUACAGUAGUACAUGCGCAAAACCCAAGUCGUUAACUGGACUUUAAAUUGAGGAUCUGGCCAUAAAACUAUUAACUGCUAAUCAAGUGGAAGACCACACACACACAUAAAUAAUACAGUAUUAUAACUGUAGCAUACCGUCGACUACACGUGACUGUGGAGAGCUUUAACUGUAUCCACCCGGGAGCCAGAGACCAAUCAAUGACGUGUUUCCGAAGCGUCGAUUUACCGACGUGUUUACAGACGGAAGAAGGAAAAACAACUUUAUAUCGGAGUUGUCUCGAGAUGGCUAUGCAUUUUCAUGGCAUAAGGCUAGUAAUCAUAUCAUUUCUCCAUUGAAUACAGACGGUCGACGUAAACAACCCUCGUCGAAUAUUCAAUGCUGGAUUACAAUAAUGAGAUGCAUCCACCAAUCCAAAGAAAGGAAAGGCGGAAGUUAGGCAGCCCGGUGAGUCGCUUUGUGGACAACGACUCCCAUCGUUAGGUCCGGAGAGACAUAUAUAAACCUGUCAGUAUAGCCAUAAUCUUUGAUAAUAAAAGUAAAUGAACAAAGAAGUAGACCAGACCCAGCUGCUAUUGCAUUUGGUGUCUAUAAGAGACAUCUCGUUAAGUAGACCGGAACUGACCUUUUUUGUUGUUGUUGUAAACGGCGAGUGAACCAUCUUAAUUUAUCCACCAUCUUUGGUGUGUUCAGGAGGAAGUGGAACAUGUAAACACACAACAAUGUCAGCCGUAGACCUAGUGCUCUGCAGCCAGACCUUACUUCUGCACAGUUAUCAAGCUAUAUCAGACCCAUAUCCAUCCAUACAGAACACUUGUCGGCUCUGCGGUCAAAAUCUGCUCAUCAAGGGGACAUUACAGGCAACACGAAGAAUAUUUGACAAGCCUAAAGCCUCAAAGGAAAAAAGGUUAUGUGAUAGAUUCCUUGCCACCGGUUUAGUGCUAACUGAAGCACCAGGGGUGAAAUCGGGCAGAAUUUGUGCAAAGUGUUAUAGACUAUUUCUCAGGAUAGAGGAAUCUGUAAGCGUUUUAAAGAAAUGGCAAUCGGAGCAUCAGACACCGGGGACGAGCAAGAAGAGGAAGCGUGAACGGGAACCGAGUCCAUCUGAAACAGACAAGGGAGCCAAGAAGACAUCUGAACGGGAACCGAGUCCAUCUGGAACAGACAAGGGAGCCAAGAAGACAUCUGAACGGGAACCGAGUCCAUCUGGAACAGACAAGGGAACCAAGAAGACAUCUGAACGGGAACCGAGUCCAUCUGAGACAGACCGGGCUGCCAAGAAGACAUGUCCUCCCUAUAAAAAGGUUCCCCCGAGGAGCAGUCUUGUCGAGGUUGUCAUAACAUACCCUAACCAAUUGGAUCCAAAGCUGAAAAAGAGGGUUGAGAAGGUUUCAUCCGAAUUUUCCGGAAUGGUUGAAAACUUGGCAAAAGGCAAAUUGACGACAUUUGUCAGGUUAGCCUUGACGAAUGAAACCAUGUGUCAAGAAAUCAGAAAGCAGAUGACACAGAAAAUAGAAGCAGAGGUCAAGGCAUAUGCAAGACCCUUAAAUUACCUGACUUGUGCUGAACCUUGCAUCUUGAGUAGUACCUCGUUGGAGAAUAUGAAGUGUUUUUCAUACAAAGCGUUGGAUGAUGAGUUGUCCAGGAAGACACCAUGGCUUUAUACCACCAUCAAUACUGCAACAGGUGGAUCCACCAUCCAUAACUGUGUAGCCGCCUCUGUGGCCCUGAGAGGUAGAAACCCCAGGCUUUCUGCACUGGCCUAUGUCAUCAACUCCACACUGACCCAAGGAGGGGUUAAGCCCAUUUUCAAAAGACUCUCUAAGAUGGGCAUAACAACCACACACAGCAAUGUCCUAAAUAAGCAGAAAGAGAUGAAGGCAGCUGGGUACAACAUCAACAUCAAAUGCUGGAGGGAGGACUGUGAGCUGUUUUUCCAACAUAGUAUCAACGGUGAAGUCUGCCCACGACCACCUCCUACUGCUAAACCGACAGAGGAGACCGGAAGAGAGGAAGAAGAGGAGGAGGACAAGGGUCCAGUGGAGGAUGAGUUUGAAAUAGAGCUGGACUGGGGUCCACUGGAGGAAGAGGGUGAAGGAGAUGAGGAAGAGUGGAGUCCACUGUCAGAAGAGACAGAAAGAGAGGAGGACAGAGGAUCUACAGUGGAGGAAGAGAGAGGAGAGGAGAAAGCCCGGGGUUCCCUGCUAGGAGAGACAGAAAGAGAGGAAGAGGGACAAACAUUAUCAGCACUAGAAGGAAAUGACAGACAGGAAGAGGAUUCUGAUUCAACAGUGGAUUCAGAGACUGAAUACUUUGGAUUAAACCUCACCUGUGAGAGUGAUUAGAGAAGUAGCCUAACAAAGAGUCUGUAGAUUACAGAUCUAGACCUGGGCUACAUCUCUGAACAACAAGGGACUAAUCAUAGAAUACAUCCCAAAUGGCACCCUAUUCCCUUUAUAGUGCACUACUUUUGACCAGGGCCAUUUGGGACAGAAUCAUACAGUGAAAUUACUCAUGUUGAGGGGGGUCAGGAUGUGAGGUCUACUGUUCCUGGUGUGUUGAGGGGGUCAGGAUGUGAGGUCUACUGUUCCUGGUGUAUUGAGGGGUCAGGAUGUGAGGUCUACUGUUCCUGGUGUAUUGAGGGGGUCAGGAUGUGAGGUCUACUGUUCCUGGUGUAUUGAGGGGGUCAGGAUGUGAGGUCUACUGUUCCUGGUGUGUUGAGGGGGUCAGGAUGUGAGGUCUACUGUUCCUGGUGUGUUGAGGGGUCAGGAUGUGAGGUCUACUGUUCCUGGUGUAUUGAGGGGUCAGGAUGUGAGGUCUACUGUUCCUGGUGUGUUGAGGGGGUCAGGAUGUGAGGUCUACUGUUCCUGGUGUAUUGAGGGGUCAGGAUGUGAGGUCUACUGUUCCUGGUGUGUUGAGGGGGUCAGGAUGUGAGGUCUACUGUUCCUGGUGUAUUGAGGGGUCAGGAUGUGAGGUCUACUGUUCCUGGUGUGUUGAGGGGUCAGGAUGUGAGGUCUACUGUUCCUGGUGUAUUGAGGGGUCAGGAUGUGAGGUCUACUGUUCCUGGUGUAUUGAGGGGUCAGGAUGUGAGGUCUACUGUUCCUGGUGUGUUGAGGGGGUCAGGAUGUGAGGUCUACUGUUCCUGGUGUGUUGAGGGGUCAGGAUGUGAGGUCUACUGUUCCUGGUGUAUUGAGGGGUCAGGAUGUGAGGUCUACUGUUCCUGGUGUGUUGAGGGGGUCAGGAUGUGAGGUCUACUGUUCCUGGUGUGUUGAGGGGUCAGGAUGUGAGGUCUACUGUUCCUGGUGUAUUGAGGGGGUCAGGAUGUGAGGUCUACUGUUCCUGGUGUGUUGAGGGGGUCAGGAUGUGAGGUCUACUGUUCCUGGUGUGUUGAGGGGGUCAGGAUGUGAGGUCUACUGUUCCUGGUGUGUUGAGGGGGUCAGGAUGUGAGGUCUACUGUUCCUGGUGUAUUGAGGGGGUCAGGAUGUGAGGUCUACUGUUCCUGGUGUAUUGAGGGGUCAGGAUGUGAGGUCUACUGUUCCUGGUGUGUUGAGGGGUCAGGAUGUGAGGUCUACUGUUCCUGGUGUGUUGAGGGGUCAGGAUGUGAGCUCUACUGUUCCUGGUGUGUUGAGGGGGUCAGGAUGUGAGGUCUACUGUUCCUGGUGUGUUGAGGGGGUCAGGAUGUGAGGUCUACUGUUCCUGGUGUGUAUUGAGGGGUCAGGAUGUGAGGUCUACUGUUCCUGGUGUAUUGAGGGGUCAGGAUGUGAGGUCUACUGUUCCUGGUGUAUUGAGGGGGUCAGGAUGUGAGGUCUACUGUUCCUGGUGUGUUGAGGGGGUCAGGAUGUGAGGUCUACUGUUCCUGGUGUAUUGAGGGGUCAGGAUGUGAGGUCUACUGUUCCUGGUGUGUUGAGGGGGUCAGGAUGUGAGGUCUACUGUUCCUGGUGUAUUGAGGGGUCAGGAUGUGAGGUCUACUGUUCCUGGUGUAUUGAGGGGUCAGGAUGUGAGGUCUACUGUUCCUGGUGUAUUGAGGGGUCAGGAUGUGAGGUCUACUGUUCCUGGUGUGUUGAGGGGGUCAGGAUGUGAGUACAGUGUGUGUUGAGGGGGUCAGGAUGUGAGUACAGUAUAUUGAGGGGUCAGGAUGUGAGUACAGUGUGUUGAGGGGGUCAGGAUGUGAGUACAGUAUAUUGAGGGGUCAGGAUGUGAGUACAGUGUGUAUUGAGGGGUCAGGAUGUGAGUACAGUGUGUAUUGAGGGGUCAGGAUGUGAGUACAGUGUGUAUUGAGGGGUCAGGAUGUGAGUACAGUGUGUUGAGGGGGUCAGGAUGUGAGUACAGUAUAUUGAGGGGUCAGGAUGUGAGUACAGUGUGUUGAGGGGGUCAGGAUGUGAGUACAGUGUGUAUUGAGGGGUCAGGAUGUGAGUACAGUGUGUAUUGAGGGGUCAGGAUGUGAGUACAGUGUAUUGAGGGGUCAGGAUGUGAGUACAGUGUGUAUUGAGGGGUCAGGAUGUGAGUACAGUGUGUUUACAACGGUAUUAAACAGACCAGCUCCAUUUAGAUGUUCAAUUCAAACUUUAUUUUUUGUUAUUUGGUACUUCUCCAAAUGGCACCCUAUUCCCUAUAUAGGGUUCUGGUCAGAAGGAAUGCACUGAAUGAAUAGGGUGUCAUUUGUGACGAAACCCUUGAAUAGAAAAAUGAAUAAAAAAUAAACCUAUAUCCAGUAUUCCAUAGAGGGGUCUGUUCAUGUCUGGGUUAUUGUUCAGGAAACAGAGGUCUUACCUGAACCUGUCCAAUAAGAACACAGGUUUUUGUUUUGCUACAUCGUGUUCUACUGAAUAGGACCCUGUUACCACGACACUAUCAAUGAUGUCACGGUCACAUGUUUGGCCUGUAGCCCUCAGGGACAGGUCUGUGUUCUUGUGGCUGGGACAGAUGGCGUCUCCAGGUUAGGGUAUGGUAAGGUGCCUGGGAACCACAAACAUCCACUUUGUUAUGUCCAUGUUGUUAUAAUUAUAUUUAAUUUGGGAUUUGUUCUCAAUUAAUUAUCUGGGUAAAUAAAGGUUAGACGAACACAAGAUUUGACCUGUCUUUAUCAUGAUGGACACCAGGCAGCCACCCAUACAGCCUUGUAAAUGAUGAUGGCAGACAUUUUGUUUUCCAAAACUCACCAAAUGUCUGCAUCUCCCACAGCACGAUGCCAAAUGCCCACACGUCCCCCUUGAAGCUGUAAUAGUUGGUUUUCUGACCGGCCAGGUCACAGUGCACCCACCACCUGUAAGUACAGGUCAGAGAUCAGGACUAAUAAAUGUUCUGUAGCUGUGUGUAUGGGUUACUGUCUGUAAGAAAUGAUCGUAGGUCACAGUGCACCACCUGGAACACAGACCCCAGAUCAUUUACUGUCUGUCUAAUGUCAGGUCCCAGACCAGUAAUGCAGGUGGCAGUUGGUGUCAUAAGGAAUGAGUGGGAGGAGGAGGAAACUGGCUUCCAUUUUGGAUCGGAGGUGUUCCAUGGCCAGUGUGAUGUGAUAAGAGGUGAUGGUGAGCAGGCUCUGUAGCUCAGGGUCAGGGGUCAUCUCGUCUCUGUGGGUCUGAAGGAAGCGCCAACACACAGGACUCUGGGAGAACUACACACAGGACUCUGGGAGAUCGACACACAGGACUCUGGGAGAACGACACACAGGGCUCUGGGAGAUCGACACACAGGACUCUGGGAGAACGACACACAGGACUCUGGGAGAACGACACACAGGACUCUGGGAGAUCGACACACAGGACUCUGGGAGAUCAACACACAGGACUCUGGGAGAUCAACACACAGGACUCUGGGAGAUCACCACAUAACACAGAAUUCAUGUUGUUGUAGUAAAUAUGUUAUAGAUGUGCCACUCGUUUCUAUUCCUUAUGGAGACUAAUAUAAAUAAUGCCGACUCCCAAAGUGGUAGAUUAUCACACAGUAUUUUUUUCUUAUUUUGGUCAUGGGAGGAUGGUCAGUUUCUCAUUUGGGUCUCAGGCUGAAAAAGUUUAAGAACCCCAAAUGUAGGGAAUAGGCUGCCAUUUGAGAUACAAACUGUGUGACCUUACCCCCACUAAAGCAGUGUCUCGUUGCCCCCUCAGUCUCAAUGGACAUUUCAUCUCUGGUCAUUAUGGGUAUAAGAUUAUCAAGGAGUGGACUGGUGGUAGCCUAGCCUAGCGUUCCCUCUUUGAUGAGCUGGUGGUAGCCUAGCCUAGUGUUCCCUCUGAUCUGGUGGUAGCGUAGCCUAGCGUUCCCUCUGUGGUGUUCCCUCUUUGAUGAGCUGGUGGUAGCGUAGCCUAGCGUUCCCUCUUUGGUGGUCUGGUGGUAGCCUAGCCUAGUGUUCCCUCUUUGGUGAUCUGGUGGUAGCCUAGCCUAGUGUUCCCUCUUUGGUGAUCUGGUGGUAGCGUAGCCUAGCGUUCCCUCUUUGGUGAUCUGGUGGUAGCGUAGCCUAGCGUUCCCUCUUUGGUGAUCUGGUGGUAGCCUAGCCUAGCGUUCCCUCUUUGGUGAUCUGGUGGUAGCGUAGCCUAG
RNAcentral lists this long non-coding RNA (6609 nucleotides) under Salmo salar (Atlantic salmon). RNAcentral's name for it is "lncRNA (ENSSSAG00000098702.1)". Lineage: Eukaryota; Metazoa; Chordata; Actinopteri; Salmoniformes; Salmonidae. The record is from RNAcentral.